GAUUGUUCCAUUUUGAUUUCUCAAAUUCUGACUUUAUAUGUCAGAAGAAUAAACAUUACUUCCUCUCUUUGCUAAACAGGAUGUCACCAUUCCUACCGUCGCACUACAAAUUCAGGAUGUUGCCAAGCCCCAGGCUGGAAUGAGUUCUAGCCGCCUAUGACUUUACUAAACCUUACGACAUGUGGUCAGUUUCAAUAUCACGCCUCGUCCCCUUUUCAGUUCCCAUGUGCUAUUGCCUCAUGAUGAUCUAGAUUCCCAUUUGCACAUUGCACGGUAGGUGAUUGAUUUAAUGCUUACUCAGGUAAUUAAUGAUAUAAUCUCCAGUAUAAUUUGGUUCUCCUCGCCGUAGAGUGGCUCCAUUUUUCAUACUGAUAGAUAGUGAAUAGGUGAGCAAUGGAGCGGAGAAAGCAAAUAUGAGUCACAUUUAUUAUCUAAAAAAACUCUACAACCAAUUCAUGAUGGCCGAACUGAUGAGUUCGCCACCGCUCUCCAUUAGGCAAAUAGUUAAUUAUUAGGGUUAUAUAUGCACGUUUUUUUUUUCUAAAUGUCGAAGCUCUAUUAUCUUGAUCUUUUUAACCUAAAUACCUUGUUCUCCGUUGGAGUGUUGUAUAACAAUUAAUAAUAAAUGCAAUGAUUUACCCAAGCAAGGCUACAAAUUUUGUCAGUACAAUAUUAGUGGUUUGUCUUGAUGUUUGUAGGGAAGGGGAGAAUGAGAGUCCCAUGAACUGCUCGAUUUGAGGUCAUGUUAAGUGAUCAGGUCCCAUAUUUCAGAUCAUGUUCUUCAUAUCCAGUUCAUUCCUUACUUCUAUGUAUUCUUUUCCAAAUAAUCUUCGAUUUAUCAGUACAAAUAAAUUGUGCUAUUUCGGAAUGUUUUCUUUUCCAAGUUUCUACCAAAAAAAAUCAUGUGCCUCAUGUUUAACCAGGUGGUUUGACAUCUAUUGAACUACAUCGAGUGUUAUUUACAAGGCAGCCAAUGACAGCAGAGGCGGAGGCCUAUAUCAUUGUUGUAGGGCACAUGGAGGUGCUGCUCGGGUGAAGGGCCAGGGAAGCGGCGACCUCUGGGGCGGUGAGGUCAGCUUGACUGAUGUGUGGUUUGACUGGUAUUACAUGAUUUGAUCAACUUAUCUUUUUUGAAAAAUGAUACACUGAUUUACAUGAUUUUGUGUUGUACCUAAUUGGCAGGAUUGUCAAUAGUUGCAUUAUUCCCCACUUGAUGAUCAAACAUGAUUCCCCUUAAGAUAUGCACAAGCAAGGCAUUUCAAGUUGAACACAUACAUAGAUAUCCAAGUAUUCUCCUACAUACUGGAUCAAUCAGAAUUGUUAAGGUUUUGUGGGGAUCUGGAUAAUAUUUUUCUGAAGCAGUGGUCAUAGUAUGCAGAUAAUAUUUUUCUGAAGCAGUGAUCAUAUUAUGCAGAUAAUAUAGAUGAUCGAGACAAUUCCUUGCCACUGAAACCAAUUUUCCUAAUAUACCACUUAACUAGAUUUGUUACCCUUCUCAUGCCAUUUCCAAAGAUGCAUAGUUAUCGAACAUCAAGUGGAUUGUAAAAUGGCUCUUAUGUCCUUAUUGUGGUUUAUGUGUAUUAUACUUUGUAUUACGAACAGCGGUACGUGGAAGUUUUUUUUUUUGGCAAUUUGGAUGUACAGCAUUUGAAUUACAAGAUAUCACCGUAGCGUUAGCACGGGCACAUUACUAGUACUAAAUAAUUAAUAUCUGGUCCCAUCUAUCAUA
Molecule: non-coding RNA, 1729 nt
Organism: Oryza sativa Japonica Group (Japanese rice)
Lineage: Eukaryota; Viridiplantae; Streptophyta; Magnoliopsida; Poales; Poaceae
Source: RefSeq, a predicted model, not a curated record